Molecule: ribosomal RNA, 292 nt
Filed under: uncultured bacterium
Lineage: Bacteria
Also listed under: 1 other name
Description: partial 16S ribosomal RNA
Source: RNAcentral
GGACUACUCGGGUUUCUAAUCCUGUUUGCUCCCCACGCUCUCGCGCCUCAGUGUCAGUAUCUGUCCAGGUAGCCGCCUUCGCCACUGAUGUUCCUUCCGAUCUCUACGCAUUUCACCGCUACACCGGAAAUUCCACUACCCUCUACAGUACUCAAGCUAUACAGUCAUCGUUGCAGUUCCUAGGUUAAGCCCAGGGAUUUCACAACAAUCUUACAUAACCACCUACGCGCCCUUUACGCCCAGUAAUUCCGAUUAACGCUCGCACCCUCUGUAUUACCGCGGCGGCUGGCAC